RNAcentral lists this ribosomal RNA (413 nucleotides) under Escherichia coli. RNAcentral's name for it is "bacterial SSU rRNA". It matches the Rfam family "Bacterial small subunit ribosomal RNA", at positions 40 to 449 of the family's 1533-position model. The record is from RNAcentral. Lineage: Bacteria; Pseudomonadati; Pseudomonadota; Gammaproteobacteria; Enterobacterales; Enterobacteriaceae.
CGGCAGGCCUAACACAUGCAAGUCGAACGGUAACAGGAAGAAGCUUGCUUCUUUGCUGACGAGUGGCGGACGGGUGAGUAAUGUCUGGGAAACUGCCUGAUGGAGGGGGAUAACUACUGGAAACGGUAGCUAAUACCGCAUAACGUCGCAAGACCAAAGAGGGGGACCUUCGGGCCUCUUGCCAUCGGAUGUGCCCAGAUGGGAUUAGCUAGUAGGUGGGGUAACGGCUCACCUAGGCGACGAUCCCUAGCUGGUCUGAGAGGAUGACCAGCCACACUGGAACUGAGACACGGUCCAGACUCCUACGGGAGGCAGCAGUGGGGAAUAUUGCACAAUGGGCGCAAGCCUGAUGCAGCCAUGCCGCGUGUAUGAAGAAGGCCUUCGGGUUGUAAAGUACUUUCAGCGGGGAGGAA